GACGAACGCUGGCGGCGUGCCUAAUACAUGCAAGUAGAACGCUGAAGAGAGGAGCUUGCUCUUCUUGGAUGAGUUGCGAACGGGUGAGUAACGCGUAGGUAACCUGCCUUGUAGCGGGGGGUAACUAUUGGAAACGAUAGCUAAUACCGCAUAACAAUAGGUGACACAUGUCAUUUAUUUGAAAGGGGCAAUUGCUCCACUACAAGAUGGAUCUGCGUUGUAUUAGCUAGUAGGUGAGGUAACGGCUCACCUAGGCGACGAUACAUAGCCGACCUGAGAGGGUGAUCGGCCACACUGGGACUGAGACACGGCCCAGACUCCUACGGGAGGCAGCAGUAGGGAAUCUUCGGCAAUGGGGGCAAACCUGACCGAGCAACGCCGCGUGAGUGAAGAAGGUUUUCGGAUCGUAAAGCUCUGUUGUAAGUCAAGAACGAGUGGGAGAGUGGAAAGUUCACACUGUGACGGUAGCUUACCAGAAAGGGACGGCUAACUACGUG
This 497-nucleotide ribosomal RNA is filed under the name uncultured bacterium. RNAcentral's name for it is "partial 16S ribosomal RNA". It matches the Rfam family "Bacterial small subunit ribosomal RNA", at positions 28 to 507 of the family's 1533-position model. The record is from RNAcentral.